GGGCGAAUGCUCAUCGGCGCAGGUCGCUGCGGAGCCGGAACUACCUUGACACGGUAGAGGUCACAGGUUCGAAUCCUGUAUCGCCCA
Molecule: transfer RNA, 87 nt
Filed under: Nocardiopsis akebiae
Lineage: Bacteria; Bacillati; Actinomycetota; Actinomycetes; Streptosporangiales; Nocardiopsidaceae
Description: Nocardiopsis sp. HDS12 tRNA-Val
Rfam family: tRNA
About the family: Transfer RNA (tRNA) molecules are approximately 80 nucleotides in length.
Source: RNAcentral